Molecule: transfer RNA, 61 nt
Filed under: Stenopirates sp. HL-2011
Lineage: Eukaryota; Metazoa; Arthropoda; Insecta; Hemiptera; Enicocephalidae
Also listed under: 1 other name
Description: tRNA-Gly
Source: RNAcentral
ACUUUUUUAGUAUAUUAGUAUAUUUAACUUCCAAUUAAAAGGUUUAAAUCUAAAAAAAGUA